GACGAACGCUGGCGGCGUGCUUAACACAUGCAAGUCGAACGGAAAGGCCCUGCUUUUGUGGGGUGCUCGAGUGGCGAACGGGUGAGUAACACGUGAGUAACCUGCCCUUGACUUUGGGAUAACUUCAGGAAACUGGGGCUCAUACCGGAUAGGAGCUCCUGCUGCAUGGUGGGGGUUGGAAAGUUUCGGCGGUUGGGGAUGGACUCGCGGCUUAUCCGCUUGUUGGUGGGGUAGUGGCUUACCAAGGCUUUGACGGGUAGCCGGCCUGAGAGGGUGACCGGCCACAUUGGGACUGAGAGACGGACCAGUCUCCUACGGGAGGCAGCAGUGGGGAAUAUUGCACAAUGGGCGGAAGCCUGAUGCAGCAACGCCGCGUGCGGGAUGACGGCCUUCGGGUUGUAAACCGCUUUCGCCUGUGACGAAGCGUGAGUGACGGUAAUGGGUAAAGAAGCACCGGCUAACUACGUG
This 468-nucleotide ribosomal RNA is filed under the name uncultured bacterium. RNAcentral describes it as "partial 16S ribosomal RNA". It matches the Rfam family "Bacterial small subunit ribosomal RNA", at positions 28 to 507 of the family's 1533-position model. The record is from RNAcentral.